RNAcentral lists this long non-coding RNA (862 nucleotides) under Physcomitrium patens. Its description in RNAcentral is "long non-coding RNA (PPAT_LNC005892)". Lineage: Eukaryota; Viridiplantae; Streptophyta; Bryopsida; Funariales; Funariaceae. The record is from RNAcentral.
AGAAGCUCAGGUGUGAGACUGUAUGUGUGUACAACUGGGGAUGUGUGAUCAAGUGAGUGAGUGAGUGCAAAUGUGUAGGAGGUGGCCCUCUGAUUGUGGUCUCCAUGGGAGAGUGUGUGCCCAUGCAGAAUUAUGUGGUGGAGCAAGCAGCACACACACACAGACUCACAGGGGCAGUCUGCAGCAGAGGUCUCAGAAAGGUAGAGGUUAGGCAGAAGACUGUUUCAUUGCAUGGCAUGGCAUGGCAGACACUUCUAAUUCUCCUUAUGUUGGUGCUGCUGUUUUCUUUUGCUGUAGAUCAUAUCAAAUAUGAAACCUAAAGUCCCUCAUGUAUGGCUUCUUUACCCCCUUGGGUUGGGGGUAUGAGUAGUAGGCUUUGAGUACACUGCAGUUGAAAUUCUACCUCUUUCUUAUCACUUUCUGCUCAUCACAUGUGAUGCACAUGCUGUUCAUGCAGGGUUGGGCCUUGGCACUAGCAAUAAGACAAAAAAAUAUCAACCACAACCCAUCUUGUCAGCUUAGUUGCACACAUGCAGACUUUCUAGCCUACCAAAUUCCAUGGGGACUCUCCCAUGCAUCAUGAAAAAGCUGUCCCCAACACACAGCUACCUGCACCCAUGCAUAUAUCUUCACAACAAUAAUAUGAUGCCCUGAAAGUUGUAGUUUUGAACAUACUUUUACUUGACCAUGUUCAAGAGCAUUCACCUCCCUGACAAGAUUCUUACAGACUACAAAGGGUAAGACCAACCCUUCAUUAGUAAGGUGAGGGACCAGCAUUAGCAAGUUAGGAAACUAGUAUGAUUCAAGCAUUCAUUCAUAUGUUCUUUUAGAUCAAAUAAAUAAAUAAAUGUCAUUGUUACAU